CCUACGGGUGGCUGCAGUGGGGAAUUUUGGACAAUGGGGGCAACCCUGAUCCAGCCAUUCCGCGUGAGUGAAGAAGGCCUUCGGGUUGUAAAGCUCUUUUGUCCGGAGCGAAACGGGCGGCCCUAAUACGGUCGUCUACUGACGGUACCGGAAGAAUAAGCACCGGCUAACUACGUGCCAGCAGCCUCGGUAAUACGUAGGGUGCGAGCUUUAAGCGGAAUGACUGGGCGUAAAGCUUUAACCCAGGUGUGAAAGCGCCGUGCUCAACCUGGGAAUGGCAUUUGGGACUGCAAGGCUGGAGUGUGGCAGAGGGGACUAGAAUUCCUGGUGUAGCAGUGAAAUGCGUAGAUAUCAGGAGGAAUACCGAUGGCGAAGGCAGGUCCCUGGGUUAACACUGACGCUCAUGCACGAAAGCGUGGGGAGCAAACAGGAUUAGAUACCCUAGUAGUC
RNAcentral lists this ribosomal RNA (450 nucleotides) under uncultured bacterium. RNAcentral's name for it is "partial 16S ribosomal RNA". It matches the Rfam family "Bacterial small subunit ribosomal RNA", at positions 338 to 795 of the family's 1533-position model. The record is from RNAcentral.